Molecule: long non-coding RNA, 682 nt
Organism: Suricata suricatta (meerkat)
Lineage: Eukaryota; Metazoa; Chordata; Mammalia; Carnivora; Herpestidae
Exons: 2
Source: RefSeq, a predicted model, not a curated record
CAGGCAGGGAUUAUACAAUAGUGUGAAUCACUGGAGGCCAUUGUAUAGGUAGUUUGUGGCAUAAGGUGGUGCAAAUGGGGGAAGGUUAUUGAACACAUUAUGUUUUCUUGUUAACCUAUUUCCAAUGUAGCAGUACCAUGUGUUAUAAAAAUAACCCUAAUGCCAUAAUGAAACCUGGAAGAAUCUUGACAGUUGCCUGAAGUUUAAUCAGAUUGCUUUCUGUGAUAACAUUGGUAGCAUGGACGUUUUGACCGUGUGUGUAGGAGUAGGUAUGUAAUUCCAGAGCACAGAUCUCUUUGUUCCAAAGACUGGCUGUCCAGACUGGAGUGAAGGAAAGGUGUUUAGCCAGAGGGAAGCAUCAAGACAAUUAAAUUCUGGGAGGAGAGCAAUGAAAAGCAGUUGAGGAAAUGGAACAGGUUUUGAAUGAGCAUGGAGACCCAGAGAGAAGAUGAGGCGGCGGCGAUGCGAUGGUUGUGUGGACACCUUGGCAGGAACACUUCAAAUGGAAGAAUGCCGGGAGGUCUCACUUGCUUUGCCCCCGCCCCAGCAGAGGCUCAUGAGUUCAGGUGUCUGAUCAUGAAUCUGAGAUAAUGAUUCUGCACAAAGACCACAUCCUGUUAAAUAAUUAGUUCUUGAGUCCAUUGGUUUUACUUGAUUUGGGAAAACAAGAGCCUGAUCCUGA